This 73-nucleotide transfer RNA is filed under the name Capsicum annuum. It matches the Rfam family "tRNA". From Rfam's summary of the family: Transfer RNA (tRNA) molecules are approximately 80 nucleotides in length. Their secondary structure includes four short double-helical elements and three loops (D, anti-codon, and T loops). Further hydrogen bonds mediate the characteristic L-shaped molecular structure. tRNAs have two regions of fundamental functional importance: the anti-codon, which is responsible for specific mRNA codon recognition, and the 3' end, to which the tRNAs corresponding amino acid is attached (by aminoacyl-tRNA synthetases). tRNAs cope with the degeneracy of the genetic code in two manners: having more than one tRNA (with a specific anti-codon) for a particular amino acid; and 'wobble' base-pairing, i.e. permitting non-standard base-pairing at the 3rd anti-codon position. The record is from Rfam by way of RNAcentral. Lineage: Eukaryota; Viridiplantae; Streptophyta; Magnoliopsida; Solanales; Solanaceae.
GGGUGUAUAGCUCAGUUGGUAGAGCAUUGGGCUUUUAACCUAAUAGUCGAAGGUUCAAGUCCUGCUAUACCCA